GGCGGACGGGUGAGUAACACGUGGGCAACCUUGCCUAUAAGACUGGGAUAACUUCGGGAAACCGGAGCUAAUACCGGAUAAUUCACAUCUACUCAUGUAGAUGUGCUGAAAGACGGUUUACGCUGUCACUUAUAGAUGGGCCCGCGGCGCAUUAGCUAGUUGGUGAGGUAACGGCUCACCAAGGCCACGAUGCGUAGCCGACCUGAGAGGGUGAUCGGCCACACUGGGACUGAGACACGGUCCAGAUUCAUACGGGAGGCAGCAGUAGGGAAUCUUCCGCAAUGGACGAAAGUCUGACGGAGCAACGCCGCGUGAGUGAUGAAGGUUUUCGGAUCGUAAAACUCUGUUGUUAGGGAAGAACAAGUAUCGGAGUAACUGCCGGUACCUUGACGGUACCUAACCAGAAAGCCACUGUAACUACGUGCCAGCCGCCGCGG
This 437-nucleotide ribosomal RNA is filed under the name uncultured bacterium. RNAcentral describes it as "bacterial SSU rRNA". It matches the Rfam family "Bacterial small subunit ribosomal RNA", at positions 97 to 520 of the family's 1533-position model. The record is from RNAcentral.